GUAGGUGAACCUGCGGAAGGAUCAUUAUCAUAACGUAUCCACGUAUAAACCAACUUUACAUUGAUGUGAAACGUAAUUGUUUUAACACCUCGAGAUAAUCAGAUCGAUUGCUGUAUUACAUUGUUUGCGUGAUUAAAGCAAAAACGGUAAUAUGGACUUGUGUUUCGGCACUAGCGCUGAUUAUUUGGAGUGUAAUAAUUUAAUCAACUUUAUUUACCCAUUGAACCGAUUAAUUAUCAUGUAAUACUGAUAGUUAUUCAUUCUAAUCUCUUUGUGUGAACUGAAUUGUUACUUACCCUUAUCGUAACUGAUGAGAGAAGUGAUUAUAUUUACGAAACAUAUAAAUUAUUAUGAACAACUCUUAGCAACGGAUAUCUUGGUUCUC
Molecule: unclassified non-coding RNA, 385 nt
Filed under: rhizosphere metagenome
Description: partial ribosomal RNA internal transcribed spacer region
Source: RNAcentral